UUCACAUUUUGAAUUCUUGUAUAACUUCUCAACAUGUAUUGCAAGUGUAUUUUAUUGGUUGUAUUUUUCUGUGUUCAAAACAGUGAUGCUCAAAAUAAAAUAGAGAAGUGGAACAAUUUUUUUGAAAAAAAUAAUGAAAAUGGUGUAAUGCCCAUUAGUGCGUUUAAAUCGUUUGUACAAGAUAACUAUGGUGUCACCCAAGAUUACCAGGACAUGGUCAACAAGAUUGAAGUCAAUAACGUGAUGGGUAUGUUAAAUGAAGAUUUUAUGCAUGCAAUUCAUAAUAUUGACAUUUACGACCCUCCUAGUCAACAUGCAGAAGCAAUGCAUACUAUUGACAUUUCCGACCCUCCUAGUCAACAUACAAAAAUUCUCGACAAGUCCUCAACAAGAUGGACGAGGUGGAUAAGAUGGAUAAAGGGGACUUUAAGAAUGAUAUGCUGAUAUUAUUAAUUAAUAUAUAACCAUGUAUGUUAUUAUUAUUAUAUAACACAGAAAAUAUUAGAUUAAUAGAUAUUGUUUUAAUGAUUUCGUUUUUAUUUA
Molecule: long non-coding RNA, 543 nt
Organism: Adelges cooleyi (spruce gall adelgid)
Lineage: Eukaryota; Metazoa; Arthropoda; Insecta; Hemiptera; Adelgidae
Exons: 3
Source: RefSeq, a predicted model, not a curated record